This 253-nucleotide ribosomal RNA is filed under the name uncultured bacterium. RNAcentral describes it as "partial 16S ribosomal RNA". It matches the Rfam family "Bacterial small subunit ribosomal RNA", at positions 524 to 776 of the family's 1533-position model. The record is from RNAcentral.
UACGUAGGAUGCAAGCGUUAUCCGGAUUCACUGGGUUUAAAGGGUGCGUAGGUGGAUUUGUAAGUCAAAGGUGGAAGCCUGCAGCCUAACUGCAGAAGUGCCUUUGAUACUGCAAGUCUUGAGUACAGUUGAGGUAGGCGGAAUGUGUAAUGUAGCGGUGAAAUGCUUAGAUAUUACACAGAACACCGAUUGCGAAGGCAGCUUACUAAACUGUUACUGACACUGAGGCACGAAAGCGUGGGGAUCAAACAGG